GUGAGUAACAAAAGUUUAGAAAGAGCUGGGCUCGUAUUCAGAAAAAACGCCUCAUCCCCCCGCCCCGCUGCACUCCCAACCCCUUUAAAAAUAGCAGAUAAUCAAGAAAGGAAACGGGUGCUUUCAUAUGGAAAUACAGAUGUCAGGUAGCAGGCAAGAGUGUGGUUAUCGUUGGACCAGGAUUCAGGAUCUGACUGAGUAGCUGACUCUUAAUCCAGUUUGUGUUGAUCACCAGGAGGAUCUGGACCUCAGUAUUACCACAUCUAGAGCUAUAAUCACAUCCCUGUUAAGCCUUCCUGAGAUCACACCAAAUGUCCUUGAUGGGAAUUGUAAACAACCCUUACUUCUGGUUUCUAAUGAUAUUCCAGGAAAGGAGCCUAACUAGAGUCAGUGAUAUGCCAACUCCACCUUUGCCUUCCACCAUGUUUGGAAGCUCCCUGAGGCCUCACCAGGAGCAGAUGCUCGUCCCAUGCUUCCUAUAAGCCUGCAGAACUGUGAGCCAUAAUAAACUGUGAAUUAUAAAUUGCCUUUAUAGCAAUGCAAAUGGACCAGUACAGAUGGGAUGCUGGGAAGACAGUUGUUUCCACCUUCAGUAAAGUCCGUGGAACACAGUUGUGACUAUAUUCUAGGCCAGCCAAGAUGCUUGUACUCAGAAAGGAGUGGUCUCAGGACCAUAAGAAAGUGAAAAAAUAAAAAUAAGAAAAUAAAGAAGGGAUUGUCAAUGAAUCAGAAUUCAUCAAGGUCAAAGUCUUAGGAAAUUCCUUCAUGAGGAAGUCUAGGGGGGCUAUGGAAAUGAAAUUUUUAAACAAAUAGGUAUGUGGUGCUGGCAGGAAUAAAUUAUGGACUUAUGAAUAUAACAUAAGAUUCUUUAUUACCUGGUCUCACCCGUCUUUCCACCUCUGCCCCCCUUCUUGCCCGACUCUGUGUAUCACCCAUAAUAAACUACUUACAGCUUCCUAGUGUUAAAUUUACCCUAAAGCUGCCUCCUUCAAUAUUUUAAGUUUAACCUAAAGGUUCUUCAUACAUAGUGAACUAUAACCCAAUGAUUAAACAGAUUGUAACCUACUCUUGUACCAGUCACCAAGUUUCAGCCAAUCAGAGGUGGCCAACUGUUCAAACCAUGCUCAAAUAAGGGAAAUGUCAUGGUGUAACUAAUCCAGCUGUUUCUAUACCUUACUUCUGUUUUCUUAGGUCACUUUCCUUUUUGGAAAAGAAAGCUGGAUAAAGUAUUUAUAGAAGAUAGAGGACCUGUGGUGGCUCAUGCCUGUAAUCCAAGGUGGAAGGAUUGCUUGAGGCCAGAAGUUCAAGACCAGUCCAAGCAACAUAGCAAGGCCCCAUCUCUACAAAAAAUGAAAAUAAAAUUAGCCGAGCGUGAUGGCUCAUGCCUGUAGUUCUAGCUUCUAGAGAGGCUGAGGCAGGAGGAUUGCUUGAGUCCAGGAGUUCAAGAUUACAGUGAGCUAUGGUCACACCACUGCACUCCAGCCUGGGUGAUGGAGUGAGACUGUCUCAAUAAAAAGACAAAAAGGCUGGCCAGGGGCAGUGGUUCAUGCCUGUAAACCCAGCACUUUGGGAGGCAAAGGCAGGAGGAUUGCUUAAGCCCAGGAAUUUGAGAUCAGCCUGGACAACAUGGUCAAGGAAGCUUUUCCUGAUCCACUAACUAAGGACAAUCAAACCCUUCAUGAUCUAGAAUCUGGAGACUGUGUCUUCUGGGAAUAGUAUCAGAGAAAGACUGCCCUUACUGCCCACAUGUAGCAAAACUUUGAGACGUUGAAUUAUGGGUCCAUAAUCUCACAACUCAGAGGGGCACCUCUAGACUCUUGGAACUGUAUAUCUAUUGGAGACUUUAAGGUAAAGCUGAACAGAGAGACGUUUUUCUCCAGAAGCAGACAGCACCAUAGUCAUGGACAGCUUUCCCAAGAUCACAGAUCAAGACUUCUCUGCCGUCAUGAGACUCAUAACCUCUUAAUUUUUUCUUGCUUAUGCUUCUGUGAACAAUAGAAUUGGAAAAGGGGUGGUCCCGCGUGCACCCAUAGGGUAUACUUUUAUUUGUGGAGGAUUUUGCUGCCAACCUUAUACAUGGGCAAACUUAUGCCUUCAUGGAUGGAAGAUAAAGGGCUAAUAUGGGUUAGAAAUUUUAAUGGUACCUUUGUUUCUCCAUAAUCAUUCAGAAACAGAACACUGGUCCACUCUUGUUAACCUACAUCAUAGGUUGAAGAGAACAUUGCCAGGAGGCCUUCAUCCUUCCAGAUGGGCACCAUUUGUUGGGUCUUUUUCCGUGGUAUGAAGAAAAUGAAGCAAUGAUUAGAAAUUGGUCCCUCGGCCGGGCACAAUGGCUCAUGCCUGUAAUCCCAUCACUUUGGCAGGCCGAGGCGGGUGGAUCACCUGAGGUCAGGAGUUUGAGACCAGCCUGACCAAUGUGGUGAAACGCCAUCUCUACUAAAAAUACAAAAAUUAGCUGGGUGUGAUGGUGCACACCUGUAAUCCAGCUACUCGGGAGGCUGAGACAGGAGAAUUGCUUGAACCUGGGAGGCAGAGGUUGCAGUGAGCCAAGAUCACCCCACUGCAUUCCAGGUUGGGCAACAGAGCAAGACUCUGUCUCAAAAAAAAAAGAAGAAAGAAAGAAAUUGAUCCCUCAUAAUAGGCUGUAUAGCAGAUUCUACUGCAAAGGCUAUGGUUGCACAACAGACUUCUUUGAAUUUGCUUGCUAAACUUUUACUGGAUAAUACUGGGAUUACAGGUGUGAGCCACUGUGCCCAGCCUCUCCUGUUUAACUGUAUUCAUUCUAAUGUUUACUUACUUCUUUAAUUUGUAAAAUUGGGUCACUUAGAGUUUUUUUAGCCUAUCUUGCCAUUUAGCCACUGUUACUGAUAAUUUGGAUGGAAAAGAAAAAUAAAUUAUAUCACCUCUCAUCUUCAGUGUAUAUAUGUGUUAACUUAGUAAAUAUAGUAUUCUUUCUCGUUCCUAAUGAAAAUUUAGUUUACGUACUGAAACACUGCAAACUUUUAUAAAUAUUGUGAUGUAUUUGACCAAUACAAAGGAUCUUUUUAGAAACAGCAAACAGUUCUCAGAUUAUAGGAAUUACUCAUUUAAUGAUAGUUUCUUCUU
RNAcentral lists this long non-coding RNA (3105 nucleotides) under Homo sapiens (human). Its description in RNAcentral is "HSALNT0186828". Lineage: Eukaryota; Metazoa; Chordata; Mammalia; Primates; Hominidae. The record is from RNAcentral.